UUUUUACUCCUUUUGGAGAUACCCAAUGCACGUGAGAAUCCUACAGGCCCUAAGACAUCUUAGAGAGCCUUCUUAAGUGAUUUGGAGAUCCCAGUUCUGCUGUGUGGCCUCAGGCAAGUCACCCAACCUCUCUGUGCCUCAGCCUUGUCAUCUAUAAAAUGAAGUCUGGUUUCCCCCGAACAAGGCCUCUGGCCAAGCAAUCUGCAGGAAGGAGGGGGUGCGAUCCCGGGAGGUUGCUCUGCUGCCCCCGCUGUCGGAGGUGAACCUCCCUGGUUUAGAGGGGAGCAUGUGCACUCUGCAUCCUGCUGCCUCCCCGUCAGAGUCAGCAAAGCCGUAAGGGACUCAGUGGCGCCCUGCGGCUCUGCCUGACACACACACGUGCACUCACCCCCCUCCCCGCUCCUCCUCUCACACACGUCUGAGAACCGGGGGGCAGCCCUCAAGGAGGGAUUUCUCACCCAAUGACCCACUCUCCUCCUGCCUUCCACCUUCCUCCCGUGGCCACAAGACUUUCACACAGGUCCAUUCCUUUAAAAGUUUAUUUCUGGUGAAUAAAAAAAAAUAAUUUAUGCGACCAGAUCAGUAAAGACAUUAUGAAGUGGGGCAGAGCUUAACGUUCGCUCCUGGGCUGUGCAGCGUGGCGGGACGGCUGCUGGGUGAAACCCAGCCGUGCGGGGCUUUGUGGAACCAGGGGAUGCCAACGCAGUGACUCACACACAGAUGCUUCUGGGAGGGCUGGGGGUGGGCUCAGAGGAAGGCCAAACCCCAACUUCUUUUGCAGAAAAGAAAUGUCUCUUCAGAGUGUUUUUUUAAAUCAGGCAACAGAAGCGCUGUCACAUGCUUGUUCCUAAUGACCACAAACAUACCAUACCAAGCAGGCUCAGAAAGAUGGGGACUCAGUGCCCAGCCCCCUCAGCGCGGAGCUCGGGAACCCCAUGGGGAAGACGGCCUCCCCCAGAGCCACCUCCUGAGGCCAGCACCCGGAGGAGACUGGAGGGGGGUGCCGAGCGCGAGCACAGCUGUCAGGACCCUCCGGUUCUGAACCCGACAGCCGCUGGGCCUGGGCGAACAUCUUCCUCCAAUUCCUCGGGUCCCCAGUAAGGCUCUCAGAGGCAGCUGCCCCCUCGGGCGGGCGUGGAGGGCAUGCUUCCUCCAGGAGGCUGAGAGCCGAACAUGCUGGUCGUCUGUGCUGGGGCCUUAAGGCCAGGAUCCCCAGGGAUCCUGCAGGAGCCCAGAAUCUUAGAGCUGGGGGACACUUUGGGGUUCACUGUAUCAAGGACGAAAUAGGCCUGUCAGUGGGAGGCGCUCGGGUCCCCUAAAAUGCAGACCGCUGCUGGCUUACCACCACUGCCUGCUGCCUGGCACCCCCUGAGGCUUUGGUUUUGGGGUCAUUUUGGUGGUGGGGUUCACUUGGGGGUUCGCAAAUUUUGGUCAUAGUAUUUUGAUAAAUUACAAUAGGCUUUGGUUGCCUGUAAACUGACUGAUGAAACACCGAGAAAGCAAGCAGCGGAAGCCUAUGAAAAGCCACAGGGGAUUUUCUGUGAUAAAGCACACGCCACAGCUUAGGUCGGCUCAUCCCUCAAGGCCAUGGUGCUCCUCUGCAGGUGGUCUGAGGACCAUGACACCCAACAGGAGGGCCACCCAGUACUCAGGGUACCUGCAUGCACUGACCACCAGGUCUGCACCUGACUUAACGCCAGCAGAGUUUAAACAAAUGUUGGUUGUUUAGCCAAAUGUAGCUUUAGCAUCCUUACCCAGAGACUUUUGAAAGGCAGAACCAAGGAAAAUCCAAACUCCCAACUCAUCCAGAUCUGACUCCUUUUUUGACCUUCAGAGAUAGCAAUUUCUGUCCACAGGAUCAGCCCAAGGCUUCAAAGCCCAGCGUUAGCUCCCCUCGGGAGCACAUCUCCAUAUACCACCUGCUCUGGCUUCUCAGAGAGAUGCAUGUCUAUGCUCUAGGCCAGGGACCACCAUCCCCUGAAACCAUCCACCUCUUAGAUGCUCUGCAAUGAAUGCUCACAUCCCAAAACGGACCUCAUACCUGCCUUGGAAGACCCAGAAGCCCUCCUCAGGGCCAUAGGGGACCCCUGCAGCAGCUCCUACUGAAUAACGCUCAGACGCAGCAUGGCCUAUGGCUACUUCCCGAGAUGAGACCAGGCCAGCGUGAGGCCACACAGACGCAUAUGCUGAGGGGAUGGGGGAGUGGGGCAAAAGAAAAGCCGGCACCACACCAGCUGGUAACUGGGGACCUACCCCCAAAGCUCCUAGCAGCACAACACUCCAGGCAGAAGGACAUUAUAAAGGUCCCACAAAAAUAUGUUCAGGCCUGUUCUUUGAAGUAUAAAGGACAGGUUCCAUUCAGCCUGUCUCUGGCGGUUUUUUUCUGGUAUCAAAUGCAGUAGAGUUUCUAAAUGACUCUGAGGCAGGGACAGAAAACUCACUGCCUGCCUCUGCCUGGCUCCUGGGAUGCCAGGAAGUGACAAGGGACAGGCGGAGGGGAGGAACGGCAACCACAGUCUGGAAAAGGGGGUGGGUGGGAGGGUGGGCUAUGGUGGGGCUCCCGAGUCCUGCUAGGUGAGGCCAGUAGCACAUCGUGACGCUGAGCCUAUAUGCCUGACUCUUAAGAGCCUCAGAAAGCAGCCUGAGCCUGUCUGUGGAGUAUUUCUCCAUCCAUGGGGCCUUCAGUUUUCAUCCUGAAGUCUGAGGGGUACAGCCCAGGGCAGGGAUGAAAAGCUGUUCUAGCUACACUCAAAGAAGGUGAGGCAGGAGUAUGUCAGCUUCUCCCUGAGAGGCCAGGGCUCCACCAGCAACCUCCCCUUCAGAGCUGUGCCUACAGUCCCAACUUCCUACACACACUCUCCCCUUGCUUUACAUUUGCACUGUCUUUGCUUCCAGACUUCCUCUGUCUGGAAAAAAAAAAUUCUAUGUGUGGCCCUUAUAAGGCUCAUAUAUGGGAAACUGUCAAAAGUUUCAUUGUAUGUUAAAACCAUGACAUGGGUUAGAGACUGCUAAAGCAGGACCACUGGGCAAGGUCGCAAGGUCUAGAGGUGACACCUUUUGAGGACCAAAGCGUCAACGUUUCCCCAGGGCAGAACUGUGAAACUACACCGUGACCAAAAUAUCAGACGCGGCACAUGGUGCUGCAGAGAAGCGGAGGGUGGCCUUCAACAGUUAUUACCUUGGAAACCAUGUGCCUCCAUGACCACUGUCUUCCCACCACAAAUUCUUUCAAAGAUACCUGCUCCCCAGCAUUGCACUCUAUCACAUAAGCCCAUCAUCCUUCAUGUGCUGCUUUGAGUAAAGGCUGUUUAAAGGUAAAUCCAAGGUCUUCAUAUGCCCUUCCAUGGAGAGGGAGGGGGCUCUGAAGAGAGGGGGGGGAACAAAUAGGAAAUCUGGCAGAGUGGCAUCCAGAAGAUGGACUCUUAUACCAUGCUUUUCCACUUAUAAGAAGUAAUAAUAAGCAAAACUAACCAGUGAAAGGUUCUGAUUUCAGGAUGUACCUAGGCUUUAGGAAUAUUAAGACAUAGGAGAAAUGUCCAUCUGGGGAUGGAGGACAUGUGAUAGAUGCUCUCCAAUUCUGAAUCUGACCAUUUUGAAAGCAGAGGAGCCGAUGUGGGACCUGAAAGA
Long non-coding RNA from Manis pentadactyla (Chinese pangolin), 3627 nucleotides. RefSeq lists it as uncharacterized. The record is from RefSeq and is a predicted model, not a curated record. The transcript is spliced from 4 exons. NCBI's taxonomy places the organism in Eukaryota, Metazoa, Chordata, Mammalia, Pholidota, Manidae.